UAACGCUGGGAUCAAAAUUAGAAAUAUA
This 28-nucleotide non-coding RNA is filed under the name Bombyx mori (domestic silkworm). Lineage: Eukaryota; Metazoa; Arthropoda; Insecta; Lepidoptera; Bombycidae. The record is from RNAcentral.